Molecule: ribosomal RNA, 293 nt
Filed under: uncultured bacterium
Lineage: Bacteria
Description: partial 16S ribosomal RNA
Rfam family: Bacterial small subunit ribosomal RNA
Source: RNAcentral
GGAUUAGAUACCCUGGUAGUCCACGCCGUAAACGAUGAGAACUAGACGUUGGCUGACAUAGUCGGCCAGUGUCGCAGCAAACGCGUUAAGUUCUCCGCCUGGGGAGUACGGCCGCAAGGUUGAAACUCAAAGGAAUUGACGGGGGCCCGCACAAGCGGUGGAGCAUGUGGUUUAAUUCGAUGCAACGCGAAGAACCUUACCUGCCCUUGACAUCCUCGGAAUUUGGCAGAGAUGCCUUAGUGCCCUCGGGAACCGAGUGACAGGUGCUGCAUGGCUGUCGUCAGCUCGUGCCG